UAAGGAAUAUUGGACAAUGGACGCAAGUCUGAUCCAGCCAUGCCGCGUGAAGGAUGAAUGCCCUCUGGGUUGUAAACUUCUUUUAUAGGGGAAGAAAGAUACUUUUUUUAAGGUAGUUGACGGUACCCUAUGAAUAAGCACCGGCUAACUCCGUGCCAGCAGCCGCGGUAAUACGGAGGGUGCAAGCGUUAUCCGGAUUUACUGGGUUUAAAGGGUGCGUAGGCGGGCAUGUAAGUCAGUGGUGAAAUACCGGAGCUUAACUUCGGAACUGCCAUUGAUACUAUAUGUCUUGAAUAUUGUGGAGGUAAGCGGAAUAUGUCAUGUAGCGGUGAAAUGCAUAGAUAUCUGGAAGAACACCAGUUGCGAAGGCGGUCUCUUGGUCUGACACUGACGCUGAGGCGCGAAAGCGUGGGGAGCAAACA
This 422-nucleotide ribosomal RNA is filed under the name uncultured bacterium. Its description in RNAcentral is "bacterial SSU rRNA". It matches the Rfam family "Bacterial small subunit ribosomal RNA", at positions 355 to 774 of the family's 1533-position model. The record is from RNAcentral.